CCUACGGGUGGCUGCAGUGGGGCAUAUUGCACAAUGGGCGCAAGCCUGAUGCAGCCAUGCCGCGUGUGUGAAGAAGGCCUUCGGGUUGUAAAGCACUUUCAGCGGGGAGGAAGGCGGUGAGGUUAAUAACCUCAUCGAUUGACGUUACCCGCAGAAGAAGCACCGGCUAACUCCGUGCCAGCAGCCGCGGUAAUACGGAGGGUGCAAGCGUUAAUCGGAAUUACUGGGCGUAAAGCGCACGCAGGCGGUCUGUCAAGUCGGAUGUGAAAUCCCCGGGCUCAACCUGGGAACUGCAUUCGAAACUGGCAGGCUAGAGUCUUGUAGAGGGGGGUAGAAUUCCAGGUGUAGCGGUGAAAUGCGUAGAGAUCUGGAGGAAUACCGGUGGCGAAGGCGGCCCCCUGGACAAAGACUGACGCUCAGGUGCGAAAGCGUGGGGAGCAAACAGGAUUAGAUACCCUAGUAGUC
Molecule: ribosomal RNA, 465 nt
Filed under: uncultured Klebsiella sp.
Lineage: Bacteria; Pseudomonadati; Pseudomonadota; Gammaproteobacteria; Enterobacterales; Enterobacteriaceae
Description: bacterial SSU rRNA
Rfam family: Bacterial small subunit ribosomal RNA
Source: RNAcentral